AUAGCUUUAGUUAUGGAUUUGAAUGUGUUCCGAUUGCCAAUUAAAUCAUAUUUAAGGCACAAAUUCUCAUAUGAUAUGAUACAGCCACUACUAUUAACUAAAUGAGACACCAACCAAAUACCUUUCACUAUCCAGUCCAGUAGCGGUAUUAACAUUUUGUGGUAUGGAAUCUUAUGUUUUGGUGUCUCUGGCACAUGCCGCUGGGUUUUGUGGCACAUCUGGAAGUUGUGGCACAUGCCAGUGAUUUUGUGGCACUGACAUAUGCCGCUGCAUUUUGAUACCGUCGAUAAACACUUGAGGAGAAGUCGGCAGCACAUACACAAAAAUUUACUGUGCUGUAAAAAAAAAUUAGGCAUAAAUGCAGUACAGUGUUUGUACUGACAUGGCAGAAAAUGAAAGGUAAGUGGCAACUGUCGGUGUUGUUUUAACUAAUCGGGUUAGCUAUUAGCUAAAGAAAGAAGUAUCUCUGGAUAAUAGAUGAACCCUUGAUGCACCCAGAAAUUAUUUAUUAUUCUUAACAACACUGUUUCAAAGUGUGUCAUGCUCCCAGCAUUUAUUUCCACAUGGAGAAAACAGAUCAUUCAAAAAUAUCUCCACUUGAAACUUAUCGGAUUUGAUAGUGUAUUGCUGAACAUUUUUAUGGUUGUAAAUUUAAAGUCUCAUGUUUUAUUGGAGUAUUUCGUGGUAAUACCUAAUUUAUUAUUUAUUCUUUAAAUGACUUUAAACCUGAAGGCACUAUAGGUUUUUCCUUGAUGUGUCAGUCAGCAUGAGAGCCCUGAGCCUGGCUGGGGAUCACUUCAUUCUGUGGUAAGGGUAAAAUAUUGAGAUAGUACAAUUGGGUUUGAAAUGUAUGGUGUAUAGUUUAGUCUGGCUCUUAUGUUGUUUUUGUUUUAUGUAUAUGAAUCAAAAACUAUGAUUUGUUGGGGCUUUUAGAAAGACAUACCAGAGUGGUACAUGGAUUUAUUAGUUAUAUUGCAUGUCUAUUGCACAUUCUAUUGCAUGUUCAUGUAAAAGCAGGUGAAUGUUAACAAACUUUAACCAUUUAAUGUGUAUCAUUUGUAAUAGUAUCUUUAAGUUCAUUCAUAUUUAACAAUUUACCUCAUAGGGCAUGUAGAAACUGGAAAAAGUAAUUAAGGUGCAUCACUGGUGACUGUCAUGCAUUCUGUUUCUAGAAAGUGGGCCAAGAAUAGGCCUUGUUCAUUUUAAACCACUCUAAGAUUUUAAGGCAGUUCACGUUUAACUCUUUUUUUCCUUCUUGUUUUAACAAAAUUUUUUAUCACACAAUAACAGGUUAUUGUAUCCAAGUGCUGCAAGGUUGUAGUGGGUACAGUGUGAUGUAUGUUUAGGUUGGCUGCACACUGAUUCUGCUGGAGUUACUGAGAGUAAGAUGCAACCCUACACUUCUGAUGGAUUUUAUCUGAGGACAUGCUUUGAUCUAUGAGACCCAGAAAGUGGCCUUCCUCCACCAGCUGUGAUGUCAACUUUCAAGGCUUCUUCUAGAAGCAGGGUACCACUGUGAGACCUCUGCUGACAUGGACAUGAUGGCAUUUUGUUUUCCUCUUGUAGAGAACACUGUAUUUAAUGUUGUGUUCUUGGUUUAGACACCAUUAGCAGUUAGAGAGAGGUGAAAGUUACAGCUCUGUAUUUGGAAAGGCACUAAUGUCUUCCUGCAACAAUGUUCACAAGUCUACCUUGUGUGUACAUUGCAUGUUUCUGCAACAGUAUGCAUAACUGUGUAUUUAAGCAAUUAUUCUCUCUUAAGCUUUUGACAAAGGUGCACUCGUAACAUCUAUGUGUGUGUGAACAGUUAAAGGCACAGAUAACAUCUCUGUGUGUGAACUUGAAGACACAUAAUCACACUUUGUGUGAUCUGAUGAAGAUAAAUAAA
This is a long non-coding RNA of Myxocyprinus asiaticus (Chinese sucker), 1888 nucleotides long. RefSeq lists it as uncharacterized. The record is from RefSeq and is a predicted model, not a curated record. The transcript has 3 exons. Lineage: Eukaryota; Metazoa; Chordata; Actinopteri; Cypriniformes; Catostomidae.